CACGAGUGGCGAACGGGUGAGUAACACGUGGGUGACCUGCCCUGUACUUCGGGAUAAGCCUGGGAAACUGGGUCUAAUACCGGAUAUGACCUUCUCCUGCAUGGGGGUUGGUGGAAAGUUUUUGCGGUACAGGAUGGGCCCGCGGCCUAUCAGCUUGUUGGUGGGGUAAUGGCCUACCAAGGCGACGACGGGUAGCCGGCCUGAGAGGGCGACCGGCCACACUGGGACUGAGACACGGCCCAGACUCCUACGGGAGGCAGCAGUGGGGAAUAUUGCACAAUGGGCGAAAGCCUGAUGCAGCGACGCCGCGUGAGGGAUGACGGCCUUCGGGUUGUAAACCUCUUUCAGUAGGGACGAAGCGCAAGUGACGGUACCUACAGAAGAAGCACCGGCCAACUACGUGCCAGCAGCCGCGGUAAUACGUAGGGUGCGAGCGUUGUCCGGAUUUACUGGGCGUAAAGAGCUCGUAGGCGGUUUGUCACGUCGUCUGUGAAAACCCGAGGCUUAACCUCGGGCCUGCAGGCGAUACGGGCAGACUUGAGUACUGUAGGG
Molecule: ribosomal RNA, 552 nt
Filed under: Tsukamurella tyrosinosolvens
Lineage: Bacteria; Bacillati; Actinomycetota; Actinomycetes; Mycobacteriales; Tsukamurellaceae
Description: bacterial SSU rRNA
Rfam family: Bacterial small subunit ribosomal RNA
Source: RNAcentral